AAUCAACGCUGGCGGCGUGCCUAACACAUGCAAGUCGAACGCGAAAGCCCGCAAGGGUAAGUAGAGUGGCGCACGGGUGAGUAACACGUGGACAACCUGCCUUCGAGUGGGGAAUAACCUUCCGAAAGGAGGGCUAAUACCGCAUAACACCUCGGGACACAAGUUCUGGGGUUGAAAAGAGCAAUUUGCUCGAAGAGGGGUCCGCGCCUGAUUAGCUAGUUGGUGAGGUAACGGCUCACCAAGGCUUCGAUCAGUAGCCGUCCUGAGAGGGAGCACGGCCACACUGGAACUGAGACACGGUCCAGACUCCUACGGGAGGCAGCAGUGGGGAA
This 332-nucleotide ribosomal RNA is filed under the name uncultured bacterium. RNAcentral's name for it is "bacterial SSU rRNA". It matches the Rfam family "Bacterial small subunit ribosomal RNA", at positions 32 to 361 of the family's 1533-position model. The record is from RNAcentral.